UCGGAACUGAAGAUUUGGUGAUUGAGUGGCGGACGGGUGAGUAACGCGUGGGUAACCUACCCUGUACAGGGGGAUAACAGUCAGAAAUGACUGCUAAUACCGCAUAAGACCACAGCACCGCAUGGUGCAGGGGUAAAAACUCCGGUGGUACAAGAUGGACCCGCGUCUGAUUAGCUGGUUGGUGAGGUAACGGCUCACCAAGGCGACGAUCAGUAGCCGGCUUGAGAGAGUGAACGGCCACAUUGGGACUGAGACACGGCCCAAACUCCUACGGGAGGCAGCAGUGGGGAAUAUUGCACAAUGGGGGAAACCCUGAUGCAGCGACGCCGCGUGAGUGAAGAAGUAUCUCGGUAUGUAAAGCUCUAUCAGCAGGGAAGAAAAUGACGGUACCUGACUAAGAAGCCCCGGCUAACUACGUGCCAGCAGCCGCGGUAAUACGUAGGGGGCAAGCGUUAUCCGGAAUUACUGGGUGUAAAGGGUGCGUAGGUGGUAUGGCAAGUCAGAAGUGAAAACCCAGGGCUUAACUCUGGGACUGCUUUUGAAACUGUCAGACUGGAGUGCAGGAGAGGUAAGCGGAAUUCCUAGUGUAGCGGUGAAAUGCGUAGAUAUUAGGAGGAACAUCAGUGGCGAAGGCGGCUUACUGG
RNAcentral lists this ribosomal RNA (644 nucleotides) under uncultured Lachnospiraceae bacterium. RNAcentral describes it as "bacterial SSU rRNA". It matches the Rfam family "Bacterial small subunit ribosomal RNA", at positions 72 to 732 of the family's 1533-position model. Lineage: Bacteria; Bacillati; Bacillota; Clostridia; Lachnospirales; Lachnospiraceae. The record is from RNAcentral.